GACAGAGGGUGCAAACGUUGCUCGGAAUUACUGGGCGUAAAGCGCGUGUAGGCGGAUCGGAAAGUCGGGCGUGAAAUCCCCAGGCUCAACCUGGGAACUGCACCCGAAACUCCCGGUCUUGAGUGGUGGAGAGGGAAGUGGAAUUCCUGGUGUAGAGGUGAAAUUCGUAGAUAUCAGGAGGAACACCAGUGGCGAAGGCGGCUUCCUGGACACCAACUGACGCUGAGACGCGAAAGCGUGGGGAGCGAACAGG
RNAcentral lists this ribosomal RNA (253 nucleotides) under uncultured bacterium. RNAcentral's name for it is "partial 16S ribosomal RNA". It matches the Rfam family "Bacterial small subunit ribosomal RNA", at positions 524 to 776 of the family's 1533-position model. The record is from RNAcentral.